Molecule: ribosomal RNA, 725 nt
Filed under: uncultured bacterium
Lineage: Bacteria
Description: bacterial SSU rRNA
Rfam family: Bacterial small subunit ribosomal RNA
Source: RNAcentral
CGGGUUAGUGGCGGACGGGUGAGUAACGCGUGAGAAUCUGCCCUCAGGAGGGGGACAACAGCUGGAAACGGCUGCUAAUACCCCAUAUGCCGCGAGGUGAAAUGAAUUUCGCCUGAGGAUGAGCUCGCGUCUGAUUAGCUAGUUGGUGUAGGUAAUGGCUCACCAAGGCAUCGAUCAGUAGCUGGUCUGAGAGGAUGAUCAGCCACACUGGGACUGAGACACGGCCCAGACUCCUACGGGAGGCAGCAGUGGGGAGUCUUGGACAAUGGGCGCAAGCCUGAUCCAGCCAUUCCGCGUGGAUGAUGAAGGCCCUAGGGUUGUAAAAUCCUUUCGGCAGGGAAGAUAAUGACGGUACCUGCUAAAGAAACCCCGGCUAACUCCGUGCCAGCAGCCGCGGUAAUACGGAGGGGGUUAGCGUUGUUCGGAAUUACUGGGCGUAAAGCGCACGUAGGCGGAUUAGAAAGUUAGAGGUGAAAUCCCGGGGCUCAACCCCGGAACUGCCUUUAAAACUACUAGUCUAGAGUUCGAGAGAGGUGAGUGGAAUUCCGAGUGUAGAGGUGAAAUUCGUAGAUAUUCGGAGGAACACCAGUGGCGAAGGCGGCUCACUGGCUCGAUACUGACGCUGAGGUGCGAGAGUGUGGGGAGCAAACAGGAUUAGAUACCCUGGUAGUCCACACCGUAAACGAUGAAUGCCAGUCGUCGGAUAGUAUACUAUAUCGGUGACA